CUGGUGUCGUGGCUGGACAAGCUGAACAAGCUCGUGGAAACCAAAUUUCUUAGUACCGGCCACAGAGUCACACAGGCAGAGCAUGACAGAAUGGACGACAUGGCACGAGGCACGUAUCACUACGGUCUUCGGCUUCUUGACGACGCUGUGAAACUGCGCAAGCUAACUGGCUAUGGUACGGCACCUAGCAACCGUGUGGCAGACGCUCUCUUUGAUGCCUGGGUCGGCUACGUCACAACUUCGAGGUGCCUGAGGCGCUCUGAACAACCUCCCAUUGCUAAAGAACCACAGGUGCUGCCUAGGUGACUGAAUUUUCCCGGCGUAAAUGAAAAUGUGGACGACAACAGCUGGUAGCAUUUACUUACGAGAUGCGAGUGCCCAAAGAGAACCGCUAGUCAAAAAGAAGAAUUGUUAUUUUUUUACUGUUUAUUUGAGGUUUGUACGUCGUAACACCAUGAACUUAGGGAAGCAGCUACUUAAGAAGCAGGAGGAGCCAGUGGAAAGCUGCAAACAACUUGGACUUUUCACGAGGCAGCGUCUUGGAGGCCAUGAUGCAUCCCUGCGGUGGUAAAGAGAAGGCAUACAUGUGCAGCUCUGGCCAGGAGAAUGUGCUUGGAGAAGAGGCACUGAGAAAACUUCAGGACACCGGAAUUUGUCACUUUAAAGGGAUACUACAACGAAAUUUCGGCACUUAUUUCUUGGUCUAUACGUGUUCAAGAGAGCACAUCUUCCGUCGAAAAAGACACGAAAAGGACUUUUAAGACAAAUUAUACGAUUAGCAAAGGGCACCGGGGGGUGUCGCUAAACCAUCAUUUGUAACGCCCGUCUAGGAACCUCGACAGGUAGCAAUGAUGCCUGUCUCGCCUAGAACUACACGAGCCUCGAAUCUGACGCCAUCCCAUGAGCUCUCCGGUCACCACGAGAGAAGGGAAGGAGGAACUCCCCUCUCACAGUGCUCUCUUUUGUGUGUCCUAGACUUGCCCAGAUGUUGCCAUUGUCCUUGUACAAGAUUAGAGAAGAUUAACCCGUCAUUCAAAACUCCUACAAAAAGUCAAAAACUGCUGACGUGCUGGAACGGCUAGGGCAUCCUGUCGAUGUCAGCCUUGCUGCAGCUUUGCUCGUCCCGGGACAGUUUACGUCGCAAUUGUGCCGGAUGUCACUUGUUCUCCACUGGCUGCUCUCCGAGCACUUGCCAGAGUGGGUUGUUUGUAACGAAAAAUACAGUCAUCAGGCUCAAAAUA
Ixodes scapularis (black-legged tick) is the source of this 1241-nucleotide long non-coding RNA. RefSeq lists it as uncharacterized. The transcript has 3 exons. NCBI's taxonomy places the organism in Eukaryota, Metazoa, Arthropoda, Arachnida, Ixodida, Ixodidae. The record is from RefSeq and is a predicted model, not a curated record.